RNAcentral lists this ribosomal RNA (614 nucleotides) under uncultured bacterium. Its description in RNAcentral is "bacterial SSU rRNA". It matches the Rfam family "Bacterial small subunit ribosomal RNA", at positions 78 to 679 of the family's 1533-position model. The record is from RNAcentral.
GCUUGCUUCUCUGGAUGAGUUGCGAACGGGUGAGUAACGCGUAGGUAACCUGCCUGGUAGCGGGGGAUAACUAUUGGAAACGAUAGCUAAUACCGCAUAAUAGCAGUUGUUGCAUGACAACUGUUUGAAAGGUGCAAUUGCGCCACUACCAGAUGGACCUGCGUUGUAUUAGCUAGUUGGUGGGGUAACGGCUCACCAAGGCGACGAUACAUAGCCGACCUGAGAGGGUGAUCGGCCACACUGGGACUGAGACACGGCCCAGACUCCUACGGGAGGCAGCAGUAGGGAAUCUUCGGCAAUGGACGGAAGUCUGACCGAGCAACGCCGCGUGAGUGAAGAAGGUUUUCGGAUCGUAAAGCUCUGUUGUAAGAGAAGAACGAGUGUGAGAGUGGAAAGUUCACACUGUGACGGUAUCUUACCAGAAAGGGACGGCUAACUACGUGCCAGCAGCCGCGGUAAUACGUAGGUCCCGAGCGUUGUCCGGAUUUAUUGGGCGUAAAGCGAGCGCAGGCGGUUAGAUAAGUCUGAAGUUAAAGGCUGUGGCUUAACCAUAGUACGCUUUGGAAACUGUUUAACUUGAGUGCAAGAGGGGAGAGUGGAAUUCCAUGUGUAGC